This 1367-nucleotide ribosomal RNA is filed under the name uncultured bacterium. RNAcentral describes it as "16S ribosomal RNA". It matches the Rfam family "Bacterial small subunit ribosomal RNA". The record is from RNAcentral.
AGAGUUUGAUCCUGGCUCAGGAUGAACGCUGGCGGCGUGCCUAACACAUGCAAGUCGAACGGUUAAACCGCCCUCGGGCGGACAUACAGUGGCGAACGGGUGAGUAACACGUGACCAACCUGCCCCGCGCUCCGGGACAACCGCUGGAAACGGCGGCUAAUACCGGAUACUCCGCGGCCCCCGCAUGGGGGCGGCGGGAAAGCCCCGACGGCGCGGGAUGGGGUCGCGGCCCAUUAGGUAGUAGGCGGGGUAGAGGCCCACCUAGCCGACGAUGGGUAGCCGGACUGAGAGGUCGAUCGGCCACAUUGGGACUGAGAUACGGCCCAGACUCCUACGGGAGGCAGCAGUGGGGAAUUUUGCGCAAUGGGGGAAACCCUGACGCAGCAACGCCGCGUGCGGGACGAAGGCCCUCGGGUCGUAAACCGCUUUCAGCAGGGUAGACUUUACGACGGUACCUGCAGAAGAAGCUCCGGCUAACUACGUGCCAGCAGCCGCGGUAAUACGUAGGGGGCGAGCGUUAUCCGGAUUCAUUGGGCGUAAAGCGCGCGUAGGCGGCCGCCUAAGCGGAACCUCUAACCCCGGGGCUCAACCUCGGGCCGGGUUCCGGACUGGGCGGCUCGAGUGCGGUAGAGGAGAGCGGAAUUCCCGGUGUAGCGGUGGAAUGCGCAGAUAUCGGGAAGAACACCGAUGGCGAAGGCAGCUCUCUGGGCCGUCACUGACGCUGAGGCGCGAAAGCUGGGGGAGUGAACAGGAUUAGAUACCCUGGUAGUCCCAGCCGUAAACGAUGGAUACUAGGUGUGGGGGGAUCCCCCCUCCGUGCCGCAGCCAACGCAUUAAGUAUCCCGCCUGGGGAGUACGGCCGCAAGGCUAAAACUCAAAGGAAUUGACGGGGGCCCGCACAAGCAGCGGAGCAUGUGGCUUAAUUCGAAGCAACGCGAAGAACCUUACCAGGGCUUGACAUGCGCCUGAAGCCGCGGAGACGCGGUGGCCGAGAGGAGGGCGCGCAGGUGGUGCAUGGCUGUCGUCAGCUCGUGUCGUGAGAUGUUGGGUUAAGUCCCGCAACGAGCGCAACCCCCGUCCCGUGUUGCCAGCAUUAGGUUGGGGACUCGCGGGAGACUGCCGGCGUCAAGCCGGAGGAAGGUGGGGACGACGUCAAGUCAUCAUGCCCCUUAUGCCCUGGGCUGCACACGUGCUACAAUGGCCGGUACAGAGGGUUGCCACCCCGCGAGGGGGAGCGGAUCCCGGAAAGCCGGCCCCAGUUCGGAUCGCAGGCUGCAACCCGCCUGCGUGAAGCCGGAGUUGCUAGUAAUCGCGGAUCAGCACGCCGCGGUGAAUACGUUCCCGGGCCUUGUACACACCGCCCGUCA